Molecule: non-coding RNA, 76 nt
Organism: Ceratotherium simum simum (southern white rhinoceros)
Lineage: Eukaryota; Metazoa; Chordata; Mammalia; Perissodactyla; Rhinocerotidae
Source: RefSeq, a predicted model, not a curated record
CUUCGAGAACAUGAAGGAAGUCACAGCGGAGAGAAAGCCUAUGAAUGUCAGGAAAGUGUGACAGGCUUUACUUCUC